GAUGAAGAACGUAGCGAAAUGCGAUAAGUAAUGUGAAUUGCAGAAUUCAGUGAAUCAUCGAAUCUUUGAACGCACAUUGCGCCCGUCAGUAUUCUGGCGGGCAUGCCUGUUCGAGCGUCAUUACGCCCCUCAAGUCCCCUGUGGACUUGGUGUUGGGGAUCGGCGAGGCUGGUUUUCCAGCACAGCCGUCCCUUAAAUUAAUUGGCGGUCUCGCCGUGGCCCUCCUCUGCGCAGUAGUAAAACACUCGCAACAGGAGCCCGGCGCGGUCCACUGCCGUAAAACCCCCCAACUUUUUAUAGUUGACCUCGAAUCAGGUAGGACUACCCGCUGAACUUAAGCAUACAAUAAGCGGAGGA
Molecule: unclassified non-coding RNA, 357 nt
Filed under: soil metagenome
Description: partial contains 5.8S ribosomal RNA, internal transcribed spacer 2, and large subunit ribosomal RNA
Rfam family: 5.8S ribosomal RNA (bases 1-120)
Source: RNAcentral